RNAcentral lists this ribosomal RNA (521 nucleotides) under uncultured bacterium. RNAcentral describes it as "bacterial SSU rRNA". It matches the Rfam family "Bacterial small subunit ribosomal RNA", at positions 8 to 524 of the family's 1533-position model. The record is from RNAcentral.
AGAGUUUGAUCAUGGCUCAGAUUGAACGCUGGCGGAAUGCUUUACACAUGCAAGUCGAACGGCAGCACGGACUUCGGUCUGGUGGCGAGUGGCGAACGGGUGAGUAAUAUAUCGGAACGUGCCCAGUCGUGGGGGAUAACGUAGUGAAAAUUACGCUAAUACCGCAUACGAUCUAUGGAUGAAAGCGGGGGAUCGCAAGACCUCGCGCGAUUGGAGCGGCCGAUAUCAGAUUAGGUAGUUGGUGAGGUAAAGGCUCACCAAGCCGACGAUCUAUAGCUGGUCUGAGAGGAUGAUCAGCCACACUGGGACUGAGACACGGCCCAGACUCCUACGGGAGGCAGCAGUGGGGAAUUUUGGACAAUGGGCGCAAGCCUGAUCCAGCCAUUCCGCGUGCAGGACGAAGGCCUUCGGGUUGUAAACUGCUUUUGUACAGAACGAAAAGCUCUGAGUUAAUACCUCGGGGUCAUGACGGUACUGUAAGAAUAAGCACCGGCUAACUACGUGACGGCAGCCGCGGUAAU